This 929-nucleotide ribosomal RNA is filed under the name Buchnera aphidicola (Prociphilus erigeronensis). RNAcentral's name for it is "bacterial SSU rRNA". It matches the Rfam family "Bacterial small subunit ribosomal RNA", at positions 365 to 1289 of the family's 1533-position model. The record is from RNAcentral. Lineage: Bacteria; Pseudomonadati; Pseudomonadota; Gammaproteobacteria; Enterobacterales; Erwiniaceae.
UGCACAAUGGGCGAACCUGAUGCAGCUAUACCGCGUGUAUGAAGAAGGCCUUAGGGUUGUAAAGUACUUUCGUUGGGGAGGAAAAAUAAAUAGAUAAUACCUGUUUAUCGUGACGUUACCCAAAAAAGAAGCACCGGCUAACUCCGUGCCAGCAGCCGCGGUAAUACGGAGGGUGCAAGCGUUAAUCAGAAUUACUGGGCGUAAAGAGCUCGUAGGCGGUUUUUUAAGUCAGAUGUGAAAUCCCUGGGCUUAACCUAGGAACUGCAUUUGAAACUAAAAGACUAGAGUAUCGUAGAGGGAGGUAGAAUUCUAGGUGUAGCGGUGAAAUGCGUAGAUAUCUGGAGGAAUACCUGUGGCGAAAGCGGCCUCCUAAAUGAAUACUGACGCUGAGGUGCGAAAGCAUGGGGAGCAAACAGGAUUAGAUACCCUGGUAGUCCAUGCCGUAAACGAUGUCGACUUGGAGGUUGUUUCCUUGAGAAGUGACUUCCGAAGCUAACGCGUUAAGUCGACCGCCUGGGGAGUACGGUCGCAAGGCUAAAACUCAAAUGAAUUGACGGGGGCCCGCACAAGCGGUGGAGCAUGUGGUUUAAUUCGAUGCAACGCGAAAAACCUUACCUGGUCUUGACAUCCACAGAAUUUUUCAGAGAUGAAAAAGUGCCUUAGGGAACUGUGAGACAGGUGCUGCAUGGCUGUCGUCAGCUCGUGUUGUGAAAUGUUGGGUUAAGUCCCGCAACGAGCGCAACCCUUAUCCUCUGUUGCCAUUGGUUCGGCCAGGAACUCAGAGGAGACUGCCGGUUAUAAACCGGAGGAAGGCGGGGACGACGUCAAGUCAUCAUGGCCCUUACGACCAGGGCUACACACGUGCUACAAUGGUGUAUACAAAGAGAAGCAACUCUGCAAAGACAAGCAAACCUCAUAAAGUACAUCGU